GUUUACCUUCAACUCCAAAAACUUCUCCUUUCUCCAACAUUGUUCCAGCCUUCCAUUGUGACGUUAAGGAUCUGCAGCUAUUUAUACCAGAAUUUGAGCAAAGGUAAAAUUUUAUGCUUUCAGAGUCAAAACAUAACUUUUCAUCUUGUUCGAGCCCAAGGGCCUUCUUUUGUGCUACUGGCACCAGGUAAUUGGUGUGAAGUAUAUAAGGUUGAUUCUUUGUAUGUAUGUGUCUUAUGUUUUAAUUGUUAAUAAUAUGAUUGUAUCUUUUCAUGAGCUGAGAUCUCUUGUUCAAUUGGUAGUUCUGCCAUCGACCUUUUUGCAACUGCAAACAUUGCUGUUGGUUAUUUUCUCAUUAUGUAUGUUGUUACACCUCUUAUGUACUGGUUCAAUGUCUACAAGGCCAGGAACUCUCCAAUAUUCUCGGAUGGCUUGUUUAAAUAAAAAGGUCAUGAUUACAGCAUUUCAAAAAUCAUAGGCCCUAACUUUCACAUUGAUUUAGAGAAGUAUGACCACGAGGGUCGUCUUUAUCUCAGCAUUGUCCUUUUACUAACUUAUGGAUUCAGCUUUGCCUGCCUCACUGCCACGGUUGUUCAUGUCUUUCUCUUUCAUGGAUGGUAAGCUUCAUACUUUACUGUUAUAAUGGAUAAAAUUCAGUAUUUUAAUGUGGCAAUAGUUUCAGACUAGAAAAGUUUAGUGCAUAAAGUUUAGUAACCUUUAGUGAAAGUAACCCCUGCCUCGAUGUAUAGAAUGGAAGCACCACUUGACUAGUUAUAGUGGUGCAGGGAUCUAUGGCAUCUCAGUAAGUCUGCUUUACAGGAAAAGAAAAUGGACGUGCACACGAAGCUCAUGAGAAAAUACAAGCAAGUUCCUAAAUGGUGGUUCAUGAUUAUACUACGAAUAAAUAUUAUAGCAACUGUAUUUGUAUGUGAAUAUUACAAAAACCAGCUUCAAUUACCAUGGUGGGGUGUUUUGUUAGCAUGUUGCCUGGCGUUCUUUUUCACCCUCCCAAUUGGAGUCAUUGCUGUUACCACAAAUCAAAAACGAUAUUCAAAAUUUCCUUGAAGGUAAUUUUGUAUCCGGUUUCGUAAUGAAUAUUACGAUAUUGCUAAGGCAUUCAGGAAUAUGGGAAAGUGAGGUUACAUACAAUCAAUACAAAAAUGAUGGGAUAGUGGUCGGGGAAAAUAUUUCAUAUAUGAAUCUAAUCUCCGCAAUUGCUACUGAAUUAAAUAUUGAUGAAUUGAAAAAAAUAUUAUUAUCCCGAUAUAUUGUAGAGGGCAAUUCUUCUCCGAUGAUAAUUAGGAAUGAUAUGGGUGUGAAGUUAUUUAUAAAAAUAAAGAAGCAAGAGGUUGGAUUCAAUAUGUAUCCGCUUUGCAUCAUACAAAUGAUAAAAGUACAGAGGAGUUACAAAUUUUUGAUUCAACCAGUGGUGCAAUUAUGUGUAUUGAAGGUGGACAAAGAGACGCUAAUGCUCUAAACGUUGUUGAAUCAAACAUUGGUGAUUCUUGUUACAUACCCGAGAUGGAGAAAGAAAAUUAUAUAUAUCAGAUACAAAUAUAUCAAAUGUGGAGACGAUUCAAUUGUACAAGGAUAAAGCAACGCUUGUGGCUGUAAUGAUGAAAUACAAAAUUAAAACUAGCUUCAAUUUUAGAGUUAAACGGUCAGAUACAAAAAGGUAUGUAAGUAUUUCAUAGUUGAUUUUUGUUUACACACUUUAGAGAAUGAUAUUUUUGGAUAAAUUUGGAUUAUUUACAUGGUUAGUAUAUCACUUUGUGUUGGAUAAUUACAAAUUUUUUUUGUAUAAGUCAAAGAUGGAAUUAUAAUUGUGACAAUUUAAUUUAUUUUGUAUUAUUAUGUUGACGUGUCUGUGAACGUGUGUAGGAGGUAAAACACAGUGGACAUUUAUAUGAAUGUUAAAAUAGUUUGUUUGACAUGAAUAUAAUAUGAGGUGUUAUUGUAAAUGUUACAUACCUUUACAUACAUUGACUCUAAUUAUCAAAAAUUUUGUAUCAAAUCUUAAAGUUUCAAGUAUGCAUUUUUACUAAUAACUAACAAAUUUAUAUGGUAUAAUUGCAGCUAUGUUUUAGAGUGUUAUUCAGAGAAAUGUUGUUGGAAAUUAAAUGCGUCUGUUAGGAAAAACACUGAUAUAUUCAAAGUAAGAUACUUCAACAGUAAGCAUACAUGUCCAUUAAGGGAUAGGGUAUUAAGUAAAGUACAAGCUACUGUUGGAUUUAUUGGUGCUUUUACGGCUCCAAAAUUGGUAAAUCAUAAAAGAAAACAUACUCCAAAUGAUAUAAUUGAUGAUGUUAGGAAAAUGUAUGGUGUUGAAAUUUCUUACCAGCAAGCAUGACGUGCUAAAGAACGUGCACUAGAGUUGAUAAGGGGCAAUCCUGCAGAUGCAUAUAAAAAUAUGCCAAGAUACAUACAUAUGUUGGAAACGGUGCAUCCAAAUUCUUAUAUACGGAUGCACAAAUCAGAAAAAAAUGAAUUUAUGUAUCUAUUAAUUGCUUUAAGGCCUUUGAUGAGAGGGUUUGAGUUCUGUAGGCCUGUUGUUGUUGUUGUUGAUGGUCACAUCUUAGUGGAGCUUACAAAGGGACAUUUGUAUCCGCAAGUACUCUUGAUGGGGCAGGUUGCAUAUUACCAUUAGCUUACGGGAUCGACCAAUACGGAAAAUGAUUGUUCAUGGACAUGGUUCUUCACACAGUUUAAAAAUGCAUUUGGUGAGAGAGAAAAAAUGUGUGUUGUUUCUGAUAGAAACGAAAGCAUAAUGGAGAGUGUUAGUAUAGUUUAUCCAAAUGUUUCACAUUUUGCAUGCAUAUGGCACUUGUGGAAAAAUGUUUGUACAUACUACAAGAGAAGUAAAAACACUCUAAGUGAUCUGUUUUAUUCGAUGGCUAAGGCUUAUCGAAAAAAGGAUUUGAAAAAUUGAUGGCUAAAGUGGAAAAAGUAGAUGGCAGAGUUAAAAAGUAUCUUGACGAGGCUGGCUAUGAAAGGUGGUCUAGAUCUCAUGUAACAGUGAAUAGGGGUAGAAUGAUGACAUCUAACAUUGCAGAAUGUAUCAAUGGUUGUCUUGUAGAUGCACGGCAAUUACCUGUUUUGGGCUUUUUGGAAGAAGCCAGAAUUCUAUUUGGUUCUUGGAACUGCAAAAAUAGAGAAAUAGCAUCUUAUACAAAGGAAACAUUAGGGAGGAAAUUUGAAGAGAUGCUGAUUAUAAACGCGUCCAAAUGUUCGAAAAUGAAGGUUGUUGCAUUUUCAGAUUUCAUUUUUUUCAGUUUAUGAAGGUGGUAUAAGAUACAUCGUUUGCCUUGAGAGAAAGAAUUGUUCUUGUGGUAGACUUCAGCAUGAUGAAAUACCUUGUGCGCAUGCAAUGACUGUUUUGAAGAAGAAGAAUAUCAAAGAUGUACACCAUACUAUUCUGAUUACUAUAAACCUGAUGCAUUAGCCAACACCUAUGUAGUUCCAAUGGAACCAAUGCCGGACAAAAGUGAUUGGACAGUUUCGGAAAGUGUUUCGGAAGAAGUUGUCUUAUCACCAAGAUACAAAAAAAUGCCUGGUAGACCAAGAAAAAAAAGAAAGAAAAAUACAGAUGAAAAGCUAAGCGAAAACACAAAUUGUUGUGGACGAUGUGGACAAGAAGGUCACAAUAGAAGAACAUGUACUUUCUUUCCAAAAGAUUCAUAAUGAUUAUGUUUCAGGAGUUCCUUUAAUAAAUGUAAUAGUGUAGCAUUUGGUUCCACUGUUACACAUAGAUUCUGAUUCAAUAAAUUUCUUUGAUCAUUUGGUAA
Non-coding RNA from Solanum lycopersicum (tomato), 3785 nucleotides. NCBI's taxonomy places the organism in Eukaryota, Viridiplantae, Streptophyta, Magnoliopsida, Solanales, Solanaceae. The record is from RefSeq and is a predicted model, not a curated record.